GAUGAACGCUGGCGGCGUGCCUAAUACAUGCAAGUCGAGCGAACGGACGAGAAGCUUGCUUCUCUGAUGUUAGCGGCGGACGGGUGAGUAACACGUGGAUAACCUACCUAUAAGACUGGGAUAACUUCGGGAAACCGGAGCUACUACCGGAUAAUAUUUUGAACCGCAUUGUUCAAAAGUGAAAGACGGUCUUGCUGUCACUUAUAGAUGGAUCCGCGCUGCAUUAGCUAGUUGGUAAGGUAACGGCUUACCAAGGCAACGAUGCAUAGCCGACCUGAGAGGGUGAUCGGCCACACUGGAACUGAGACACGGUCCAGACUCCUACGGGAGGCAGCAGUAGGGAAUCUUCCGCAAUGGGAGAAAGCCUGACGGAGCAACGCCGCGUGAGUGAUGAAGGUCUUCGGAUCGUAAAACUCUGUUAUUAGGGAAGAACAUAUGUGUAAGUAACUGUGCACAUCUUGACGGUACCUAAUCAGAAAGCCACGGCUAACUACGUG
Molecule: ribosomal RNA, 497 nt
Filed under: uncultured bacterium
Lineage: Bacteria
Description: partial 16S ribosomal RNA
Rfam family: Bacterial small subunit ribosomal RNA
Source: RNAcentral